Rhopalosiphum padi (bird cherry-oat aphid) is the source of this 772-nucleotide long non-coding RNA. RefSeq lists it as uncharacterized. The record is from RefSeq and is a predicted model, not a curated record. Lineage: Eukaryota; Metazoa; Arthropoda; Insecta; Hemiptera; Aphididae. The transcript has 3 exons.
AUGUCCAUCGCUCGCACUUGUUGCGUACCUGCGUACCUACGUCACACGCGAACAAAAUAGCAAAUCUGCGUUUGGCAAAACCGCGAAUAAUGCGUUGUUAGUGGGUAAUUGUAAGUUUGUGACUUGUCAGCUUUGACAUUAGACGAUUAGAACGAAUAAACUCAUUAUCAAAACUGUAGAUGAGUAUAUCAUCUAUGGGACAUCGCCGGGACUUAUAUCGAUAUUUAAAUUCUAACGCAAGUUAUAAUCGUGUAAAAUAUUACGAUUUACAAUAUCAAUAUCGUGUUAUGUAUGAAACGUGGAAAGUUGUUCGUAAUCAGGAGUACAGUGAAUAACAUGUAAAUACGAUGGUUUGUUUUCCAUCGGAUGUGAUCCGUGAUCCGGUUCCUUUGUUUUUGGUGACGACGUGGCCACAGCCCUAGCCGCAGCUCUAGCCGCAAUACGCCUCAGACGUGAAGGCUUCAGGCGCGAGCCGGACGCCUUGCGACGGCGCACCUUUGAACCGACAUCGGCGGCAUCCGGACCAUCCGGUAUACCGGUGUUGCCACCGUCUGGACGUGGUUCGCUUGUCUUGGCUUCAAUAGCGACUUCAUUGAAAAUAACUAAAAUACAACGAAAAAAUUAUUCAAAAUGUUUAAAAAAUAAUUUAUUUAAAAUGUACCAUGUGUAUUGUUAUUAUUAUGUUAUAUGUAUUCGCGCGUACAGUUUGUUACCUAUACCGGCAAAUAUGGAAUACCUGUCAUAUUCUAAUACAUUAUGUUGUUACUAGAAA